CGAAGAAGAGAAAGAGAAAAAUAUGAAAGGAAGAGGAAAGAACUGGAAGGGAGGAAAGGAAGAGCCAGAAAAGAAAGAGAUAAAAGGUUAGUCAAUAACCUUUACAAUUAAUUUUAUUUAAAAUACUAGCCUACAUAGACGUGAUAAAUAUAUACUCAAUAUUAUAAAACAUAAAAAAUAUAUAACAUUACAGAUCAAAUAUACAAAAAUCUACUAAUACCAAAUUUAGAUCAAAUUAAUUCAUUCACACAAACCAUAUAAAAAGUCAAAUUCAAUUCAAAAAUCACCUACCAUUAUCUUUCACGAGAAAUUAAAGGUGAUUCAGUUUCAAAUCCUACUCAGUCAGAAGCAAUUAAUUACAUUACGGGGAAUAAUGGUAUACUAAUUAGGAAACAAUUAUCCCAUGAUUUUAUCCCAGCCAAUCAUUUACAGCAUAUACUUACGAAGAACUUCAGAAAGGUCUGUGUUUUUAAUGCUUUAUUCCCUGGCUUCGUAACAGAAGUGGUAUUUAUAUCAAGAAUUGAAAGCUGCUGAUGAGAAUAUAUUGGGAAGAGGAGAUGGAAGAGGUACAGCUUGGUCGGAACAAAAUCAGCUGUUCACUUAAGAGCGACUUUUCUCUGCGAUGCGAAGUGCGAUGAUUUCCUCACGUGACCUGACUUGACCUGCGGCGGUUUAACCCUGACCUGACCUCGCCGACAAGUCAAGACCUUAAGGGAAUUUCUGAUCUAAGGAGGUAGAUAAAGGAAAUUCGGCAUCAAGCAACCGCUGGACCGAGAGCCGUUCCUCCGCCUGCUUUGUGCUUGAUUUUUUCGUUAAUAACCCGAUGUCUUUGUGAGAAUUUGUGAUUUAUUUUUUUUCCCCCGUCCAUGGUAGUGUGUAUGCGUGGCUAUAAACAUGCGCCAAAUAAAAUAUAUUUCAGUG
Molecule: long non-coding RNA, 921 nt
Organism: Penaeus chinensis
Lineage: Eukaryota; Metazoa; Arthropoda; Malacostraca; Decapoda; Penaeidae
Exons: 4
Source: RefSeq, a predicted model, not a curated record